UUGUGUGGCAUUCCUACUGUGAACAGUGUCCACUCCCUUGAUGUCUGUAGUAUCACCCUUCUUGUACAUUCACAUGUAUGUGGUCAAAGAAACAACCAGUGUUUUCUAAAAGGCUUAGAGAACAUACAGAAGAUCCCCCUUCUCUUACACACUAUGAAUACAAUGUAGGCAUUUUCCGAUGUAGAGCAAUCUCGGAAGUGGGAUACAAAGAAAGCGAGUUGAGAAUAACAAAAGCAACUGACAGCCCUCACAGCACUGUUUCACCAAUGAAGAAGAAUGAGUAGAAGGAGGAAACACCAGGAGCUUCUGACUACAUCUUACUGGUGAGAAAUGUGUUGCAAGUGUCCUUACCGCAAAACAGUCUGAGAGGAAAAACUUGGCUGCACAGUCUCUACAGUAGAACAAGGAAGACAAGAGGAGAGUUGGAAAUGUUUGUUGAGUAAGCCAACCUACAACAUCUGCCAGUUUUUCUUUUAGAGAUUUAAUUUCAGACCUCAUUUCAAGAUGGUUUCUCCCUCCGCUCAUUUUCAGUAGCUGCAAAUGUACAAGAAGGAAAUUUGCUGAAAAAUAAACUCAGAUAAAGAAAUGGAUGUUUUUGGUUUUUAUAUAAAAGGAUAAGUGAUUUAGAUG
This 630-nucleotide long non-coding RNA is filed under the name Chinchilla lanigera (long-tailed chinchilla). RNAcentral's name for it is "lncRNA (ENSCLAG00000028375.1)". Lineage: Eukaryota; Metazoa; Chordata; Mammalia; Rodentia; Chinchillidae. The record is from RNAcentral.